GAUGAAGAACGUAGUGAAAUGCGAUAAGUAGUGUGAAUUGCAGAAUUCAGUGAAUCAUCGAAUCUUUGAACGCACAUUGCGCCCCCUGGCAUUCCGGGGGGCAUGCCUGUCCGAGCGUCAUUUCUGCCCUCAAGCACGGCUUGUGUGUUGGGUGUGGUCCCCCCGGGGACCUGCCCGAAAGGCAGCGGCGACGUCCGUCUGGUCCUCGAGCGUAUGGGGCUCUGUCACUCGCUCGGGAAGGACCUGCGGGGGUUGGUCACCACUAUAUUUUACCACGGUUGACCUCGGAUCAGGUAGGAGUUACCCGCUGAACUUAAGCAUAUCAAUAAGCGGAGGA
Molecule: unclassified non-coding RNA, 337 nt
Filed under: soil metagenome
Description: partial contains 5.8S ribosomal RNA, internal transcribed spacer 2, and large subunit ribosomal RNA
Rfam family: 5.8S ribosomal RNA (bases 1-120)
Source: RNAcentral